This is a non-coding RNA of Acanthosepion pharaonis, 113 nucleotides long. The record is from the annotation of a GenBank genome assembly. Lineage: Eukaryota; Metazoa; Mollusca; Cephalopoda; Sepiida; Sepiidae.
UACAGCCAUACCACGUUGCAACACCGAUUUUCGUACGAUCGCCUAAGUUAAGCAAAGUCUCGCCUGUUCAUUACCUAGAUGAGUGACUGCUUGGAAAUACCAGGUGCUGUAAG